Molecule: ribosomal RNA, 465 nt
Filed under: Vreelandella stevensii
Lineage: Bacteria; Pseudomonadati; Pseudomonadota; Gammaproteobacteria; Oceanospirillales; Halomonadaceae
Description: partial 16S ribosomal RNA
Rfam family: Bacterial small subunit ribosomal RNA
Source: RNAcentral
CCUACGGGGGGCAGCAGUGGGGAAUAUUGGACAAUGGGGGCAACCCUGAUCCAGCCAUGCCGCGUGUGUGAAGAAGGCCCUCGGGUUGUAAAGCACUUUCAGUGAGGAAGAACGCCUGGUGGUUAAUACCCAUCAGGAAAGACAUCACUCACAGAAGAAGCACCGGCUAACUCCGUGCCAGCAGCCGCGGUAAUACGGAGGGUGCGAGCGUUAAUCGGAAUUACUGGGCGUAAAGCGCGCGUAGGUGGCUUGAUAAGCCGGUUGUGAAAGCCCCGGGCUCAACCUGGGAACGGCAUCCGGAACUGUCAAGCUAGAGGGCAGGAGAGGAAGGUAGAAUUCCCGGUGUAGCGGUGAAAUGCGUAGAGAUCGGGAGGAAUACCAGUGGCGAAGGCGGCCUUCUGGACUGACACUGACACUGAGGUGCGAAAGCGUGGGUAGCAAACAGGAUUAGAUACCCCAGUAGUC